Molecule: ribosomal RNA, 449 nt
Filed under: uncultured bacterium
Lineage: Bacteria
Description: partial 16S ribosomal RNA
Rfam family: Bacterial small subunit ribosomal RNA
Source: RNAcentral
AGCGAACGCUGGCGGCAUGCCUAACACAUGCAAGUCGAACGAGAUCUUCGGGUCUAGUGGCGCACGGGUGCGUAACGCGUGGGAAUCUGCCCUUUGGUUCGGAAUAACGGUUGGAAACGACUGCUAAUACCGGAUGAUGACGAAAGUCCAAAGAUUUAUCGCCAGAGGAUGAGCCCGCGUAGGAUUAGCUAGUUGGUGUGGUAAAGGCGCACCAAGGCGACGAUCCUUAGCUGGUCUGAGAGGAUGAUCAGCCACACUGGGACUGAGACACGGCCCAGACUCCUACGGGAGGCAGCAGUGGGGAAUAUUGGACAAUGGGCGAAAGCCUGAUCCAGCAAUGCCGCGUGAGUGAUGAAGGCCUUAGGGUUGUAAAGCUCUUUUACCCGGGAUGAUAAUGACAGUACCGGGAGAAUAAGCUCCGGCUAACUCCGUGCCAGCAGCCGCCGUAA